This 77-nucleotide transfer RNA is filed under the name Ignavibacteriales bacterium CG07_land_8_20_14_0_80_59_12. RNAcentral describes it as "tRNA-Arg". It matches the Rfam family "tRNA". From Rfam's summary of the family: Transfer RNA (tRNA) molecules are approximately 80 nucleotides in length. Lineage: Bacteria; Pseudomonadati; Ignavibacteriota; Ignavibacteria; Ignavibacteriales. The record is from RNAcentral.
GCGCCCGUAGCUCAGCUGGAUAGAGCGACAGCCUCCGGAGCUGUAGGUCGCGCGUUCGAAUCGCGCCGGGCGUACGA